Molecule: long non-coding RNA, 265 nt
Filed under: Lathyrus oleraceus (garden pea)
Lineage: Eukaryota; Viridiplantae; Streptophyta; Magnoliopsida; Fabales; Fabaceae
Description: Pisum sativum (pea) long non-coding RNA (PSAT_LNC010456)
Source: RNAcentral
CCUAACGAAAAGUUUCUAAGUGUGCAGGGUUCUAAGGAAAGAAGAAAGAGAUCUGAUGACGUCAUCAGAUACAGAAUCAAAUCAGAUACAAAAUAUCAAAAGAUCAGAAGUAUCUGAAGUGGAAACACGCUCUAGAAGAUCUGAGUCCAAGCAAAAGCGGAUCAGGAUAUCAGAAGCAUCUGAAGAAGAAGUGCUCUCUAGAAGAUCUGACUCUGAAAUUGGUAUAUCAUUUCCAGAAGCUCUCAGCGUUAUCCGAAGACAUCAU